This 908-nucleotide long non-coding RNA is filed under the name Homo sapiens (human). RNAcentral's name for it is "HSALNT0377694". The record is from RNAcentral. Lineage: Eukaryota; Metazoa; Chordata; Mammalia; Primates; Hominidae.
AGGAAUGCUAGCUAGGCUGAGUGUCUGAGCAAAUGUGGACAGCCAAAGGGAGCCUUGGCCAAAACUCUUCUCUCCUCUGUCUCCAGGAAUUGGAAGUGUCCCACUGAGGUGUCACCAUGAGACCCACCCAUCGGAGCCAGGCUUUGAAGGAACUGACCGCAGUGUGCAUGAGGAAGUACUUCACGGUGAUGACCCUCGCCACCCUCUCAGGAAAACACAGUGACCUCUCCCCCAACAUCCCCUUCCCACUCCCAGGUCCCCCGGCAAAGGCAGAAGAACCAAGCAAGCCUUUCCACCAAAGCAGCCAUGAACCCCAUUCUCAUCCUUUCCAAGAACUCUCUGCUAUACCAGAUAGGGGUUUGGGGUUCUGUUUUCCAUUUUUUAAAAAAAUCAUUUCAAGACUCUUGAACAGUGUGUCGGUUUACACUAUUCUAUCUUCUUAAGCCACCAUAUCAACAUAUUCACUCUGCUUCCUUUCUUUUCAUUUGGCAGAUGCCACACUUUUAAUGGCAGCAAUAAAAGGUGUUUCUAUCAAUGCCAGGUGGGCAGCCCUGACCAUCUAAAGCCUCGGAGAGGGUUAUACCAAGUCUCCUGUACACCUCCGUGCUAGUGACAACAUGUGGGGACCUCUCAUCCCAAAGUUUUGGGACAAAGUCUCCCGUCCCUUAUCAUUUGUUUUCACUGAGGCUAAAUGUAUCUGUUCAGUACAUGGAUAGAUUUUUAAGCUCCUCUCACAAAGUCUUGUGCUUGAGACAAAAUCAGCCCAGGUUCUGCACUUUGUCUAUAUUUCAGCAGCUCUCCUGCUUGAUAUUAAAAAUAGCCUUGUCUAGUCCAUCGAGAUCAGACCCAGGAGACAGGCGCCUGCUAUUCUAAUCUCUGCUUCACAAAUAGCUCUCUAUGGGCUCAAG